Small nuclear RNA from Pygocentrus nattereri (red-bellied piranha), 175 nucleotides. Its record names the gene U2. It matches the Rfam family "U2 spliceosomal RNA". Rfam says of the family: U2 is a small nuclear RNA (snRNA) component of the spliceosome (involved in pre-mRNA splicing). The record is from Ensembl. NCBI's taxonomy places the organism in Eukaryota, Metazoa, Chordata, Actinopteri, Characiformes, Serrasalmidae.
AUCGCUUCUGAGCCUUUUGGUAUCUGAUCUUAUCAGUUUAAUAUCUGAUCAGUUUUCUAUAUGAGGACAACAUAUUAAAUAGAUUUUUACGAUAGGGAGACGAAAGAGAGGCUUGCUCCGUCCACUCUGCACAUUGACUCAUUAUUGCUGUACUUCUGAGAAUGAUACACCUUUU